This 279-nucleotide ribosomal RNA is filed under the name uncultured bacterium. Its description in RNAcentral is "partial 16S ribosomal RNA". It matches the Rfam family "Bacterial small subunit ribosomal RNA", at positions 506 to 784 of the family's 1533-position model. The record is from RNAcentral.
UGCCAGCAGCCGCGGUAAUACAGAGGGUGCAAGCGUUAAUCGGAAUUACUGGGCGUAAAGCGUGCGUAGGUGGUUAGAUAAGUCAGGUGUGAAAUCCCAGAGCUUAACUUUGGAAUUGCGCUUGAAACUGUGUGGCUAGAGUACUGUAGAGGGUAGUGGAAUUUCCGGUGUAGCGGUGAAAUGCGUAGAUAUCGGAAGGAACACCAGUGGCGAAGGCGACUACCUGGACAGACACUGACACUGAGGCACGAAAGCGUGGGUAGCGAACAGGAUUAGAUA